RNAcentral lists this ribosomal RNA (119 nucleotides) under Oryzias melastigma (Indian medaka). Lineage: Eukaryota; Metazoa; Chordata; Actinopteri; Beloniformes; Adrianichthyidae. The record is from RNAcentral.
UCUUACGGCCACACCGCCCUGUGCACGCCCGCUCUCGUCUGAUCCUGGAAGCUAAGCAGCGUUUGUUCUGGUUAGUACUUGGAUGGGAGACCGCCUGGGAAUACCAGAUCCUGUAACUU